RNA transcript from Octopus sinensis (East Asian common octopus), 2149 nucleotides. It is a transcript of the gene named zinc finger protein 664-like, with no coding region annotated. Lineage: Eukaryota; Metazoa; Mollusca; Cephalopoda; Octopoda; Octopodidae. The record is from RefSeq and is a predicted model, not a curated record. The transcript is spliced from 2 exons.
UUAAUUGUUAUAAUGUGUAAUAAUUAUAUUAAGAGGACAUAUUAAUGUUUGUGGACGACAUCCGAUUGCCUACAUGUUUCAGGGUCAGUGUUCUAUCACCUUCAUCAUUAAUUAAUUCCAUCAUAAAUGAAGUUACAUCGUCGAUUGUUUGUAACUCAUUCGGAAUAUCAUUGCGCGCACCUUACAAUCGUUAGUGGAAAAUUGCAUCGCCCUGUCUUUCAAUGAUUUACUAUUAUGCUAAGGGAUUGUUUUGUUAUAAGCUGCGAGAAAAAACAAAAUGUUCACCCGAAGUUCUGUUACCUGUCAUUUAUGAUCUCUCUCUAAAAUCGUUUUUGCCUUUAUUAAACUAUAUCCCAUCUCUUAAAGGAGAAAAGAGACGACCCAGUUGACAAUCUGCAUUUUCGUAGCGAAUAGAAUAUAUAUCUGCAUUGCAUAUUUUCCACAAACGUUAUCAAAAUUCUUAUGAGAUUCAAGACAAGGAACUGGAUCGUUAUAUAUUAAUAUAUUCCUGAAUUCUGAAGAAUGAAAAUGCAGGACAUUAAUCGGUUGAACAAUUCUAACCCGACUGUUCAGACCGAUACAGAAACAGUUACACGGACAUUCAGCGACGAAAAGCCUUUAAUUAAUGAAUCUAAAGAAAGGUUAUUAGAUAAAAGGAAUAUUCUUGAAUAUCGCUGUGAGAUUUGUAGGAAAACAUUCUCUUCAGAACAUGAAGUUUUAACGCACAGAGAAAUACACAAAACAGAGAAACUAUAUCGAUGUGAAACGUGUGAGAAAGAUUUUGCUUCUAAUCGUUAUUUAAGGAAACACAAAAAAUUACACAGUGAAGAAAAACCAUAUCAGUGUGAAUUAUGUGAGAAAUCAUUCGUCUGUAAAAGUUAUUUAACAAAGCACAAACGAAUACAUACCGCGGAAAAAAAGUAUCGUUGUGAAACGUGUGAGAAAGCUUUCUUUGAUGAAUAUGAUCUUGUAGUUCACGUAAGAAUCCACACGGGAGAAAAACGGUAUCACUGUGAAAUAUGUGGUAAAUCUUUCUGUCAUCGUUCUACACUUAUACCCCAUCAACGAAUACACAGUGGGGAAAGGCCUUUUCACUGUGAUAUAUGUGGGAAAAGUUUUGUGAUCAAAUGUGAUUUAACAAACCACGUGAGGGUACAUACGGGUGAGAAACCCUACACCUGUGAUCUCUGUGGGAAAUCUUUUACCGUUAGCAGCCACUUAAAAUCCCACAGAAGGACUCAUACUGGAGAACGACCAUUCCGCUGUAAAAUUUGUGGGAAAUCUUUCAGUGAGAAUUCCAGCCUCGUGGUUCACCAAGGAAAACAUACUGGGGAAAAACCUUAUCGGUGUGAAAUAUGUGAUAAGUAUUUCGCUUCUAAUGGUAACUUAACAGCACACAGGCGCAUACACACAGGAGAAAGGCCCUAUCGUUGUGAAACGUGUGGGCAGUCAUUCAAAAAUAAUUCCCAUUUAAAGACUCACAAACGAAUCCAUAGUGGGGAGAAACCCUUCCGUUGUGAGACAUGUGGUAAAUGGUUCUCUGAUAGUUCUAAUCUUAUAGUUCACAAGAGGAUUCAUACUGGGGAUAAACGCUUCAUGUGUAAAACAUGUGGUAAUUCGUUUCCUGGGAGAUCAAGUCUUGCUAUUCACCAAAGAAUACACAGUGCAAUAAAACCAUGAAACUUUGAAAUCUGUGGAAAAUAUUUUGGAUCAAAAAAUGAUUAAAAAAAAGCACUUAGGAAUCCACGCUUGAGAAAAACCGUUCUAGUGUUCAUAUUCACAGUCACAUAUGCUGGCAUGGGUUGGACAGUUUGACAGGAGCUGACCAGAUGGAGCGCCAUCCAGGCCCCAAUUGUCUGCUUUGCCAUGGUUUCUAUGGCUGGAUGCCCUUCCUAACAGCAACCAUUUAACAAAUUGUUCUGGGUCCUUUUUACAUGCCAUCAGCAUUGGUGCAUCCAUGCAGCACCAGCACACGAACAUUUUACAUGCACAUGCAAGAUCAAAGACCUUAGCUGGAGUGGGCGGAGAGCUGGCAGCAACGUUAGCACGCCAGGCGAAAUGCUUAGUGGUAUUUCGUCUGCGGUUACGUUCUGAGUUCAAAUUCCACCGAGGUCGACUUUGCCUUUCAUCCUUUCGGGGUCGAUUAAAU